GGCCGCGUGGCCUAAUGGAUAAGGUGUCUGACUUCGGAUCAGAAGAUUGCAGGUUCGAAUCCUGCCGUGGUCG
Molecule: transfer RNA, 73 nt
Filed under: Petromyzon marinus (sea lamprey)
Lineage: Eukaryota; Metazoa; Chordata; Hyperoartia; Petromyzontiformes; Petromyzontidae
Description: tRNA-Arg (TCG) (tRNA-Arg-TCG-4-1)
Rfam family: tRNA
About the family: Transfer RNA (tRNA) molecules are approximately 80 nucleotides in length. Their secondary structure includes four short double-helical elements and three loops (D, anti-codon, and T loops).
Source: RNAcentral